Molecule: non-coding RNA, 28 nt
Filed under: Rattus norvegicus (Norway rat)
Lineage: Eukaryota; Metazoa; Chordata; Mammalia; Rodentia; Muridae
Source: RNAcentral
UGAUAACGGGUAACAAUGAUUGGUUUAU